GCCCGCAUAGCUCAACUGGAAGAGUGUCGGUUUCCGGAGCCGAAGGUUGCAGGUUCGAACCCUGCUGUGGGUA
Molecule: transfer RNA, 73 nt
Filed under: Saprospira grandis
Lineage: Bacteria; Pseudomonadati; Bacteroidota; Saprospiria; Saprospirales; Saprospiraceae
Also listed under: 3 other names
Description: tRNA-Arg
Rfam family: tRNA
About the family: Transfer RNA (tRNA) molecules are approximately 80 nucleotides in length.
Source: RNAcentral